UGCAGUCGAACGAUGAACUGGAGCUUGCUCCAGGGAUUAGUGGCGAACGGGUGAGUAACACGUGAGUAACCUGCCCUUGACUCUGGGAUAAGCGUUGGAAACGACGUCUAAUACCGGAUAUGAACUGUGACGGCAUCGUCUGCAGUUGGAAAGAAUUUUGGUCAAGGAUGGACUCGCGGCCUAUCAGGUAGUUGGUGAGGUAAUGGCUCACCAAGCCGACGACGGGUAGCCGGCCUGAGAGGGUGACCGGCCACACUGGGACUGAGACACGGCCCAGACUCCUACGGGAGGCAGCAGUGGGGAAUAUUGCACAAUGGGCGAAAGCCUGAUGCAGCAACGCCGCGUGAGGGACGACGGCCUUCGGGUUGUAAACCUCUUUUAGUAGGGAAGAAGCGAAAGUGACGGUACCUGCAGAAAAAGCACCGGCUAACUACGUGCCAGCAGCCGCGGUAAUACGUAGGGUGCAAGCGUUGUCCGGAAUUAUUGGGCGUAAAGAGCUCGUAGGCGGUUUGUCGCGUCUGCUGUGAAAUCUGGGGGCUCAACCCCCAGCCUGCAGUGGGUACGGGCAGACUAGAGUGCGGUAGGGGAGAUUGGAAUUCCUGGUGUAGCGGUGGAAUGCGCAGAUAUCAGGAGGAACACCGAUGGCGAAGGCAGAUCUCUGGGCCGUAACUGACGCUGAGGAGCGAAAGCAUGGGGAGCGAACAGGAUUAGAUACCCUGGUAGUCCAUGCCGUAAACGUUGGGAACUAGAUGUAGGGGCCAUUCCACGGUUUCUGUGUCGCAGCUAACGCAUUAAGUUCCCCGCCUGGGGAGUACGGCCGCAAGGCUAAAACUCAAAGGAAUUGACGGGGGCCCGCACAAGCGGCGGAGCAUGCGGAUUAAUUCGAUGCAACGCGAAGAACCUUACCAAGGCUUGACAUAUACCGGAAACGUCCAGAGAUGGUCGCCCCGCAAGGUC
This 957-nucleotide ribosomal RNA is filed under the name Frondihabitans sp. RNAcentral describes it as "bacterial SSU rRNA". It matches the Rfam family "Bacterial small subunit ribosomal RNA", at positions 56 to 1028 of the family's 1533-position model. The record is from RNAcentral. Lineage: Bacteria; Bacillati; Actinomycetota; Actinomycetes; Micrococcales; Microbacteriaceae.